UGUGUUUGUAGGUUUGAUCAAUUAUUCUCAGUCAUGUCAUAAAACGGACGAAUCCAUUUCGUUUACUGGGUGUUCCAAAUAUUAUCUACAACUCAACAAAACCAGGUUUAUGUUUGAUAGAGAGUAUGAAGACUGUUCCGCAGUAUACAAAGAAGCACAAACAUCAAUUAUAACUCUUUGUAACGAAAAGAACAAUUCAGACAUAUGCACCUUCAAUCUUUCUGAAGUAAUCCGGAAAUAUCCAAGAUGUUUUCAAUCAAACACUCUUCUGCUUAACUAUACAUGUAAAGAGAAAGUACCAACUACCUUAUCUAAUGAUUCACAGGAGACAAAUGUUUCACUAGACAGAGGUUUAGUUGUCGGUAUGGUUGUAGCGAUCGUGUUGUUAGCGUGUGUUGUUGUUAUUAUUUGUCUCGUCAGAAG
Mytilus californianus (California mussel) is the source of this 423-nucleotide long non-coding RNA. RefSeq lists it as uncharacterized. Lineage: Eukaryota; Metazoa; Mollusca; Bivalvia; Mytilida; Mytilidae. The transcript is spliced from 3 exons. The record is from RefSeq and is a predicted model, not a curated record.